ACAAACUUGGUCAUUUAGAGGAAGUAAAAGUCGUAACAAGGUUUCCGUAGGUGAACCUGCGGAAGGAUCAUUAACAAAUCGUUUGUAUGGCUUCGGCUAUACAUAUUCACCCCAAGCCUGCUAGUCAGGCUUAGGUUAGGCCGGUAUACAUUUUGUGUACUGGUCACAUAGACGCUUGUAUUGUUUGACAGAGUAUAGUUGCAUCAAAAAAUGACAACUUUUAACAAUGGAUCUCUUGGCUCUUGCAUCGAUGAAGAACGCAGC
This 264-nucleotide unclassified non-coding RNA is filed under the name uncultured fungus. Its description in RNAcentral is "partial contains small subunit ribosomal RNA, internal transcribed spacer 1, and 5.8S ribosomal RNA". The stretch from base 1 to 73 matches the Rfam family "Eukaryotic small subunit ribosomal RNA", at positions 1759 to 1831 of the family's 1831-position model. The record is from RNAcentral. Lineage: Eukaryota; Fungi.